This is an RNA transcript of Osmerus eperlanus (European smelt), 2197 nucleotides long. It is a transcript of the gene named RIC8 guanine nucleotide exchange factor A, with no coding region annotated. The transcript is spliced from 13 exons. The record is from RefSeq and is a predicted model, not a curated record. Lineage: Eukaryota; Metazoa; Chordata; Actinopteri; Osmeriformes; Osmeridae.
AUGACUCAGUCAAGUCAGUAAAUUGUCCGCACAAAUAAAAUCAGCUCUCUUUCAUCACAGCGGUUGGUCGAAAGCUAUGAGUGCAAAAUUUAAGCAGAAUUAGUAGACUGGAUUAAAAUGCUAAAUUUGAAAGCUGUAAAGUCAAGGCAAGGCACCAGACCCGAGGAGUGCGGAUUACAGACCGACUCAUAUGAAUAUUGACUUCGGAAGAGAUCGUACAUGAUUCAAGGCGAGACGGGUACAUUCGGGUGCACUUGGAAUACAGCAGUGAAAAUGGAUUUAAAUGCCAUCAUAGAAAACAUGGAAACAGGGGAUCAAAAUGCCGCAUUGAUGGCACUACAGACGUAUAAUAAAGAGAAGGGUCAAUGCUUCAAAUUUAAUACAGAGGAUGAGGCAGAAAGAGAGGAUGGGAAGUUACAAGAGCGUCUGGGAGAGCUGGUGAUGGGUUUCCUGGAGCGAGGCCUCCAGCCUUCCUGCCAACUGGCCUGCCUGGAGACCAUCCGCAUCCUGUCCCGCGACAAGAACAACCUAGCGCCCUUUGUCACACGCCGUUCACUCGCAGUCCUCAGCCACCAUGCGGGAAUCGUCCCAGGCGAUGGGGAGGCUGUUUCAGGCAAUGGGGAGGCUGUUUCAGGCAAUGGGGAGGCUGUUUCAGGCAAUGGGGAGGCUGUUUCAGGCGACGCCCCUGAGACCCUGGAUUUGGAGGUGAUCGUGGAGGCACUGAAGUGCAUCUGCAACCUCAUACUGCACAGCCCCACCGCCCAGGAGCUCGGCCAAGAAAUGGACUUGAUGACCGGCAUCGCCGAGCGCCUUAAGCAGUGCCACGACAAUCAGUGGAACCACGAGGUGCGCUUCUUUGACCUGCGCCUCACCUUCCUCCUGACCGCGCUGCGUGUUGAUGUUCGGAGCCAGCUGGCCCACGAGUUGCAUGGGGUCAGCCUCCUGGGAAACGCGCUCGAUGCCACGCUGGGUCUGUGCUGGCCUGACACCCUCGAAGUGGCGAGGGAGGGCGUGGUGGAGGACGCCAAAGAGCUGCCGCAGCUAAGCCGUGAGCAGAUUGAGCGGGCCAUGGAGAUCCUUAAGAUCCUCUUCAACAUCACCUUCGACUGCUCGCGCCGCACAGUGGAUGAGGAGGAAGCGGCCACCUACAGACACCUCGGAGCCAUACUCAGACACUGUCUCUUGAGCACCGCAGACGAAGAGGAGCGCACAGAGGAGUUCCAUAGCCAUGCGGUGAACCUGCUGGGGAACCUGCCUCUGACCUGUUUGGACGUCCUUCUGGCACCCAAGGUUCAGCAGGGCUCCAUCGAGCACAUGGGACUUAACAUGGAUGCUGUCAACAUGCUCCUGGAGUUCAUGGAGAAGAGGCUCGACAGGGGAAACAAGCUAAAGGAGACACUCCUUCCUUCCCUGAAUCUGCUCACGGAGAGUUCCCGCGUCCACAGAGAGACCCGCAAGUUUCUCAGGAUGAAGGUGCUUCCACCACUGCGAGAUGUGAAGAACAAGCCGGAGAUGGGGAACGCUCUUCGUAACAAGCUUGUCCGCUUAAUGACUCACAUCGAUACGGAUGUCAAAAACUGCUCCUCCGAGUUCCUGUUUGUUCUUUGUAAAGAAAGCGUUUCCCGGUUCAUCAAAUACACGGGUUAUGGGAACGCGGCAGGGCUACUUGCUGCCCGAGGCCUGAUGCAUGGAGGGAGCGACCCUGGCACAUACUCAGACGACGAGGACAGUGAGACGGAGGAGUAUAGGGAGGCCAAGAGCCAGAUCAACCCAGUGACAGGUAUCGUUGAGGAUGAGCAACCAAACGCCAUGGAGGGGAUGACAGAGGAGCAGAAAGAGAUGGAGGCCAUGAAGCUGGUCAACAUGUUUGAUAAGCUCUCCAGGAACCAUGUGAUCCAGCCGAUGCAGUUGGGAAGUGAUGGGAUGAUGAGGGAGAUGAACGUGUCUGACCUGAAGAGGUUGACCCAGCAGGUUGCCCCCAACCAGCCACAUGCCUCUGACAGCGAGGACGAUCUGGAGUAAGCCCCCAAUGAGGUGUGCGUGUGGCUCAGUAAGGCUAGGUUGGGGGGGGGGGGCUACGUGGGAAUUGGUGCAGGAAUGUGGCUAGCUGCGGGGGAGCGUAGCUUGAUGUAGCUCAGCUCCACAGUUUUACAGAUUUAAACUGGUAAUGUGUGUUUUUCAGUCUAACAGUCUAACA